This 253-nucleotide ribosomal RNA is filed under the name uncultured bacterium. RNAcentral's name for it is "partial 16S ribosomal RNA". It matches the Rfam family "Bacterial small subunit ribosomal RNA", at positions 524 to 776 of the family's 1533-position model. The record is from RNAcentral.
AACGGAGGGGGCGAGUGUUAUUCGUGAUGACUGGGCGUAAAGGGUACGUAGGUGGUGACAUUCUAAACUAGGUAGAAAAACUGGGGUUUUACCCCUUUAAGCUUAAUUAUAUUGUCACUUGAGUAUUAUUGGCGAGAAUUGUAUUCUUUCUGGAGGAGUGAAAUAUUUAGAUAGAAAGAAGACGGACGAAGGCGGAGGCAAUUCUCGAGAUACAUUCUGACGCUGAGGUACGAAGGCAUGGGUAGCAAAAGGG